RNAcentral lists this long non-coding RNA (418 nucleotides) under Vigna radiata. RNAcentral describes it as "long non-coding RNA (VRAD_LNC014779)". Lineage: Eukaryota; Viridiplantae; Streptophyta; Magnoliopsida; Fabales; Fabaceae. The record is from RNAcentral.
UGAAGAUGUUAUUAUUUAGGUCUAAAGGAAAAAUAAUAUUAAGUUACAAAAAAGAACAGAUAGCCUUUUUUGAUUUUUCGUAACACUUGUUUUGUCUUUGUAGCCAAGAGCAACCUCUUACACAACACCAAACAAGACAACAGACAUACAACAAAAAUGAAACAAUUGAAAUAUUAGAAGUAAAUUGAAACUAGUUGAUGAGAGAAACCUCAAGGGAUAUUUGUAGCAACCAUGCGAUUGAGCUCAUAUUCACUACACAAAACUGACCAUUUAUAAGCCACGUCAAACAAUUCUUGCUCAACUUUUCUUUUAUCUUCCAACAGUUGAGAUCUGUCCUUCAUCACAUUGUCAAGCUCCUUUUUGUACCCUAUAGUUUCCGCAAUGCAUUUAUUCUUUUCCUUCUCCAAAGAUGAUAAGG